CUUCUCUUACCAUGAACUACAGGAUGAGCUGCUGAGGAUGAAACGCUGGUCUUCUGUGCUCUUGCAGAUUUUUAAGUGGAAAGACGUGAGCUGUCCUGGCUGAGAUUUUGAGCUGAUCUUCCACUACAGCUCCCUCCAGCAAAUUGUACAGCUUUAUGACCAGAAGAGUUAAUCCUGAACUACUCCCACAUCUGUGACGGCAGAAGUAAACAUUUUUGGAACUCCUGAGACUAACAAGGUGCUCCUGAACAGGUAAGAAAAGGGAGACAAACGGAUUCAGUGACUUGCCAAUGGUGAAGCUGACAACUGUUGAAAGAGCUUGAAAGAAGAGCUUAUUUCUCAUAACUUCUGAGUCCUUUCCACAUACAAAUGCUAUACUGUGUAUCAGGACAUGGCUCCACUCUUGUUAAAACUGUGGAUAACGACCCACUAACCACCCUAAUCCAGGUCUAAUGUGAACUCACGGUUGUAUUUCUGUUGAAUUACCCAGAGCAACAAUGUUAAUGCCAUCUGGGUGAGGACUGAUUACACCUGAUCAGGAUAAAAAAAAAAAAAAAAGUCUCUGGGGUCAAAACUACUUCUUCAAAGUUCUUUUGAACACACUUGAACUGGCAGAAAGAUUUUUGCAGCACUUCAACACCUUUCAUCAGAUGGCUGUGAUGCAUUUGAGCUGGCAGCAGGAGCUGUCCCAAUGGAAUUAGCACCCCAUGGAGUCACUGCUGGGUGUGACACCCCUGGAAGCAAAGAAGCAAUCAAAUGCUAAGCCUUUCUGAUGGUGUUUUCCAUCUGUUUUCCUGCCAGCGUGCAACAUGCAACUCGCCACCAUUUCUGGCGAAGCAAAACUGUGUCAUCGCCUCUAUGUGUGUGUGUCCGUCCCUCGCAUUAACAUCUUUCAGUCUACUGGCAGCUUCAACCACAUUUAAUACAAGGGUAUAUGUCUCGAUACAAAAUUCUGCUCCUGCAUGCCCAGUAUAAAUAAGUUACCAGGGAGAGAGGAGAAAUGAGUUUGACUGUGCACAGGUCCAUCCCUGUGACUUCUGAUCCUGACGGCUGGGUCGCCCAGCUGAGCUGGGCAGAGAGCACGUGGCUGGCAACGUACUCUUCAGGCAAAGUGUACCGUGAGAUUUGUUAAGAUUUUAUCUACACAAGUCAGACAAUCAAGAAGCAAAAAUCCUCAACAGAAAGGACUUCAGUAAUUACACUGCAGAUGGAACCUGUUGGGGAAGAAGUGAGAUAAUGAAUGCAAUCAACAGUGGGUGUUGGGUCCAUGCUUGAUUUUUAUAAAAAUCUCUCUGGCUUUCCACAGAUCUUAGGUUUUAACCUAUAACAUGCCCCACAGAUGUUUAGAUAGGAAGGUGCUUAAAAGUGUCCAGCUAUACUUAAUUGUAAGCCAAACUAGCUAACCUAUUUACUCAGGAAAAUAAGUGCUCAGGAACCUCGUUACUGAUGAAGAUCAUGUUUUGUCAACUGAAUGUGUGUUUCUUCUCUAAGCAUAAAGCACUGAAUUUUUUUUGUGUAGAACAAAGACACUCAAACUCUAUUUUGAGGGGAAAAAACCUGCAAGUUGAGAGAGAUAUUUUGGGUUACCUCCUUCACACAGCACACAUGAUUCUAUUUUAGGAUUUCUCCAGGAAUAACGUGGUACUGGAGACACCAAUCCUUCUCUCACUUUCCAGCUCCUAAGCACAAGGAAGCGGACAGAGUAACAUGAAGUGGACGCAGCCCAUAUCCCUAAUACCUACUUACCCUGUAUCUCAGCAGCAACACAUAUAGCAGAAGCUGCCUGACUUUUGCACAAGGGAGAAAGAGUACCAGAUCAGACUCUACGCUAACACUCCUUCAGUCUUGAGCUGGGGCCCUGCAAAUUCUCCAUGACUUUAAGAGUAUAGCUUUCCUUCUUGCUAGUUGGUGUUAGUCUGGAAUCUCAGUUCAGUAUACAAUAUACAAGGUCCAGAGCCCCAAAUGCUGCUGGUAUUUCAAUGAGGAGGGCUACUGCGGCUGGGAAGGAAGGAAGGAAGGGAGAAAGGAUGGAAAGAAGGAAGAGAGAAAGGAGGGGAGGGACAGAGGAAGGGUGGGAGGAAGACUGGUUUA
Long non-coding RNA from Chroicocephalus ridibundus (black-headed gull), 2091 nucleotides. RefSeq lists it as uncharacterized. The transcript is spliced from 3 exons. The record is from RefSeq and is a predicted model, not a curated record. NCBI's taxonomy places the organism in Eukaryota, Metazoa, Chordata, Aves, Charadriiformes, Laridae.